RNAcentral lists this long non-coding RNA (1221 nucleotides) under Bos taurus (domestic cattle). RNAcentral's name for it is "long non-coding RNA NONBTAT022822". The record is from RNAcentral. Lineage: Eukaryota; Metazoa; Chordata; Mammalia; Artiodactyla; Bovidae.
GUUGGAGGACGUCAUUAGCACCCUUCUGGCAGCUGCAGUGGGGUCUUGACCCACUGGGACACAUCUUCUAGGGUCACCCACUCAUUUAAUGCUGGCCCGAAAUGGCUCACUUCUCACCAGUCCGUUAUAGUCCACUUGGGCAGGACUGUGUGCAGGCAAGAGGCGUUCUGGUCAUCUGGGAAGUCUGACUAGCUUUCAUCAGCUCCUUACCCCUCAGGUGACAAUCACUCUCUCCAGCUCUUAGCAACUUAGAGCUAUCAGCCUCUGUGGAGAGUUACAGAUGAUUGUUCUGAGCUAUUUUUACAAAUUUAACCCAACACAAAGUGAAUUCUAAUUUGCUGUAGGUCAUGUCCAUUCAUUCCCUGGCAGCCCAGGCCUGUCUUGCUGACCCAGUUGGAGGAGCGGCACACUUGGCCCAAUCUUAGGGCCAGAAGCUGGUGUCUUGGGCUGAGAAUGGAAAGCAGGGUCCACUUCUGAGUGGCAAUGACUCUAGCUAAGGAAACUGGACCCGGUGAUUAUAAAAACAGGAAAAGACUCCAAGCUAGGAAAUGCUAUUUGGAAUAUGGGGAACCCCAUCACCUAAUAGAACAAUCCUGUUCCUAAACAAGAGGAGAUGUUGGUCCAAGUCCUAGGCCACAUAGGUCACAAUUGUUUUUUUACCUUCAGUAGCUUUUAUACUCACGUUAAAGUUAGCGCUUUCAUAUUUCGGCCAUUCAAAGAGCUCAGUGCCUCUUCCUCUGAGUUUCUGCAAACUAUGCACAGCAUCUCAGAGGGUGGCAUACAAAACUAUUUUUCUAACUAUAGCACAGGAAGUUUGGGGUGGGGGAGGCUUGGGAUAUACCUACAUGUAGCCAACGACUUAUUUUCCCACCUUGAGGGAUGAAAGGGAGACUGUAUACCUGAGUUUAAUUCGCCAUUGGAUCUCUUGUACCAGAAAAAACACAUAUCAAAUAUCCAAGAAGUAAAAUUGAUCACUAGCUUAAUCUGGGGACUCACUAUAAGGAAGGGUCACUUUGACUAGAACACAGAUACCUACAAAUACAAUGUGAGCUGAUUUCUUGGCAACCUUUAAAAUGUUCUGGGCAGCACAACUUCUAGGUCUGUACAGUUGAUGUAAGUAUAAUUAAGUAGUGAAAUUGUAUGGUAUAUACCUAUAUGCCAAUAGUGUAUACCUAUAUGUGCAGGAUUUGCUAAUAUAACCAUUUCAAUAAAAACUUAUUG